This 929-nucleotide ribosomal RNA is filed under the name uncultured bacterium. RNAcentral describes it as "bacterial SSU rRNA". It matches the Rfam family "Bacterial small subunit ribosomal RNA", at positions 8 to 916 of the family's 1533-position model. The record is from RNAcentral.
AGAGUUUGAUCAUGGCUCAGGAUGAACGCUGGCGGCGUGCUAAUACAUGCAAGUCGAACGGGAAAUUUGUAUAGAGAGCUUGCUCAAAGUACUUAUUUCUAGUGGCGAACGGGUGAGUAACACGUGGGUAACCUGCCUUUCAGUUGGGGAUAACUAGAGGAAACUUUAGCUAAUACCGAAUAACUGUUAAGACGGCAUCGUCUAAACAUAAAAGGGGCUUUUGCCCCGCUGAUAGAUGGACUCGCGGCGCAUUAGGUAGUUGGUGAGAUAACAGCUCACCAAGCCAAGGAUGCGUAGCCGACCUGAGAGGGUGAUCGGCCACAAUGGGACUGAGACACGGCCCAUACUCCUACGGGAGGCAGCAGUAGGGAGUUUUCGGCAAUGGGGGGAACCCUGACCGAGCAACGCCGCGUGAACGAAGAAGGUCUUCGGAUUGUAAAGUUCUGUUGUAGGGGAAUAAAGGUCGGAAGAAGAGAAUGUUUCCGAUUUGAAGGUACCCUGCCAGAAAGCCACGGCUAACUACGUGCCAGCAGCCGCGGUAAUACGUAGGUGGCAAGCGUUAUCCGGAAUUAUUGGGCGUAAAGAGUGAGCAGGCGGCUUUUUAAGUCUGAAGUCAAAUGCAGUGGCUCAACCACUGUCCGCUUUGGAAACUGAGAGGCUAGAGUACGAGAGAGGUAUAUGGAAUUCCAUGUGGAGCGGUGAAAUGCGUAGAUAUAUGGAGGAACACCAGUGGCGAAGGCGAUAUACUGGAUCGAUACUGACGCUCAGUCACGAAAGCGUGGGUAGCAAAUAGGAUUAGAUACCCUAGUAGUCCACGCCGUAAACGCUGAGAACUAAGUGUUGGGGUGAAACCCAGCGCUGAAGCUAACGCAUUAAGUUCUCCGCCUGAGGAGUACGGUCGCAAGACUGAAACUCAAAUGAAUUGACGG